UGGCUGAUUACAGGUAAAUCGGUAAUUUCUUUUUGACAGUGGCGUGUAUUCUGGGGUGUGGAACAUCCUGUCCAUGUGUAAUACUUUAUAUAUUUUCCAACAAAUGACAUUACACAAAUGUUUCUUCUGUUAAAUGAAUGAUUUGUAUAUCAUCAUAAUUUGCUAUUUAUAUAAACCACAUUUUUGUACAAUGAAUAUUUACCAUAUUAACCUUGAAUAUUAUGAAUGUAGAAUGAAAUAUGUCUAC
This 247-nucleotide long non-coding RNA is filed under the name Mytilus galloprovincialis (Mediterranean mussel). Lineage: Eukaryota; Metazoa; Mollusca; Bivalvia; Mytilida; Mytilidae. The record is from RNAcentral.